This 537-nucleotide ribosomal RNA is filed under the name Triticum aestivum (bread wheat). Its description in RNAcentral is "partial small subunit ribosomal RNA". The record is from RNAcentral. Lineage: Eukaryota; Viridiplantae; Streptophyta; Magnoliopsida; Poales; Poaceae.
AUGCUUUAUACUUUUAAAAAAAUAAGAAGAAAAACCAUGCAGCUCGCUUCGAUUUAUGCCGUGGUUCACUUCUCCCAAAAAAUUAAUUUGCAUUCAUGUGUUAAAAAUCGAUGCAGCUCACUAAGAAAACCUUUGCGGUGCACUUUGCAAAACAAAGGAGUUCACUUUGUAAAAAAAAUGUAUAGAGGAGUUCAUUUUUUCUAUUUUUUGAGGAUUUGUUUUUUGCAAAUUUGUAAGGACAUGGUGUAUAAUUUGUUAAAAUUGAUGCAGCUUAUUAAGAAAACCUUUGCGGUGCACUUUGCAAAACAAAGGAGUUCACUUUGUAAAAAUAUGUAUAGAGGAGUUCAUUUUUUUAUUUUUGGAAGAAUUUUUUUUUUGCAAAUUUGUAAGGACAUGGUGUAUAAUUUGUUAAAAUCGAUGCAGCUCAUUAAGAAAACCUUUGCGGUGCACUUUGCAAAACAAAGGAGUUCACUUUGUAAAAAAAUGUAUAGAGGAGUUCACUUUUUAUUAUUUUUAGAGGAAUUGUACACCAUUUAG